RNAcentral lists this ribosomal RNA (253 nucleotides) under uncultured bacterium. RNAcentral describes it as "partial 16S ribosomal RNA". It matches the Rfam family "Bacterial small subunit ribosomal RNA", at positions 524 to 776 of the family's 1533-position model. The record is from RNAcentral.
UACGUAGGGUGCGAGCGUUGUCCGGAAUUACUGGGCGUAAAGAGCUCGUAGGUGGUUUGUCGCGUUGUCCGUGAAAACUCACAGCUCAACUGUGGGCGUGCGGGCGAUACGGGCAGACUGGAGUACUGCAGGGGAGACUGGAAUUCCUGGUGUAGCGGUGGAAUGCGCAGAUAUCAGGAGGAACACCGAUGGCGAAGGCAGGUCUCUGGGCCAUAACUGACGCUGAGAAGCGAAAGCAUGGGGAGCGAACAGG